This 2304-nucleotide unclassified non-coding RNA is filed under the name uncultured fungus. Its description in RNAcentral is "sequence contains 18S rRNA gene, ITS1, 5.8S rRNA gene, ITS2, 28S rRNA gene". The stretch from base 1066 to 2304 matches the Rfam family "Eukaryotic large subunit ribosomal RNA", at positions 1 to 961 of the family's 3401-position model. Lineage: Eukaryota; Fungi. The record is from RNAcentral.
GAAAGGAUCAUUAACGCUCUCUCUCUUUUAAUAACAAAGGUUUCUCAAUAUGUUGUUUGCUUGCUUGCUGCUCUUGAAUUUUAUUAUUUGAGAGCAGCAGCAGCAGCAACAGCAUUGAGAGACUGAAUGCGUGCCCAUAUAUGCUGCUCUCUUGGGCAUCAUACGUGUGUGGCCGCCCACUCCAUUAUAAUGAUGGAGUGUUGAAGUUCCCUUUUGCAUACAUACAUACACACACACAUGUGUGUGUGUGUAUGUGUGCAACAAAAAACACCAAAUCAAAAAGAAUACAUACACACAUAUAUAUACUAAAGAGUAUAAUUAUUAUAUCAAUAAUAAUACAACUCCUAACAACGGAUAUCUUGGUUCUCGCGAGGAUGAAGAACGCAGCGAAAUGCGAUACGUAGUGUGAAUCGCAGGGAUCAGUGAAUCAUCGAAUCUUUGAACGCAUGUUGCGCUCUCGUGGUCACCCCCCGAGAGCACGUUCGCUUGAGUGCCGCUCUUAUUCAUUAUCGAAAUGCGUAUCUACUCUUGGCCGCACGCCAGUCGCGUGGUCAGGUAGAUGACACGGGUUUUGUGUGCCGCCUGUGGCGUGCCACAUAGCCUCAGAUAGCUCUUUCAGUUGUCUUUUUGUCAUUAUUCUCUCCCUCUAGAUCAGAUCAUGAGGUGAGCAAUGACGAGUGUCCUUUUUUUGUGUAUGUGUGAAGAGCUUGGGGUUUCACCGCCACACACGGCGGUCUUUCUCUGCUGCUGCUCUCUUUAUUGUGAAUGGAUGUGUGUGUGUUGGGUUGCGUGUGCGUGUGCGUGUGCAGAUUUUAUAUCUGCACAUGCACGUGCGCAUGUGUCCAUUACAUAUAUGUUUAUAUAACAAUAUAGGGGACUAGCAGCAGAAAGAGAUCACAUGUAUGCGUGCGUGAAGCUAAUUACAAACCAAACUCUUCAACACACAUGCACACGAAAUUGAUACAUCAACACGUCAUUGUUUGCUUUCUGUGUGUUUGAAAGAGAGAGAGAGAGGCCUAAUAGGCAAAUGAUAAAUAAUACGGACAACAACAACAACACUUUACCCGGCCUCAAGUCGAGCGACAGUACCCGCUGAAUUUAAGCAUAUUAAUAAGCGGAGGAAAAGAAACCAACAGGGAUUCCCUUAGUAGCGGCGAGCGAAGCGGGAAGAGCCCAAGCUCUGAAUCUGGGCGCGCGUCAAGUUUCGUGCCCCGAAUUGUGGUCUCGUGACAAGGCAUCGCUGGAGCGACCGCGUUGGGCAAAAGUCCCUUGGAAAAGGGCGCCAGGGAGGGUGACAGCCCCGUCCAUUGGUCCAACGAUUCGGCCGUUACGAUCACGCGUAGUUGCUCUUGCCCCAGAGUCGGGUUGUUUGGGAAUGCAGCCCUAAGCGGGUGGUAAAUCCCACCCAAGGCUAAAUAUUGACAGCGAGAGACCGAUAGCGAACAAGUACCGUGAGGGAAAGGUGAAAAGGACUUUGAAAAGAGAGUCAAAAGUGCUUGAAAUUGUUAGGAGGGAAGCGAUCGGCACCGGCGGUUCGCUUAUUUUCUCUCGGGCUGUUCAGUGAUGCCGCCGUCAGAAGGGCUUGCGGAAGCAAGGAGCGUGUCAAAAGCGCCUUUGCUCUGUGUCCAUCUUCUGGCGCGAAUCAUGCAUUCAGUCUGAGGAGCGAGCCAGCAUCGGCUUCGUAUAUUAGAGUGGUGACUGAUGGGCAUCAGGGCUAGGGCCUGGUGGGCUGGCCUCACGGCUGUGUCCCACCAGCGCGACCUGGUGAUCCCUGUCAUCAUGGAGGCCGAGGAACCGACAACCCAUGUCCGCAAGGGCGAGGCACUGCGUCAUCAUGGCGGGCUCACGUGUGAGGAUCGGGAACCGAUGCUCGUGCGGCGUAGUCUGUCGUUUGUGGCGUGGGUCCAUCUACGGUGGGUUAGUGGAUGCUGGCGGAACGGUGCUGAUCGACCCGUCUUGAAACACGGACCAAGGAGUCUAACACGUGCGCGAGUGUCCGGGUGGCAAACCUGGGCGCGGAGUGAAAGCAGAGGGCAACGUUACGGUUGUCUGAGGUGGGAAGGAGGGUGAGGCCGUGCGUCAAAACGCGGUCCCUCCUGCACCACCGGCCGACCUGGAUUUUCUUGAAAGGUUUGAGCUAGAGCGUACUUGUUGGGACCCGAAAGAUUGUGAACUAUGGGUGACCAGGACGAAGCCAGAGGAAACUCUGGUGGAGGUCCGAAGUGAUACUGACGUGCAAAUCGUUCAUCUGAGUUGCCUAUAGGGGCGAAAGACUAAUCGAACAAUCUAGUAGCUGGUUCCCUC